AUUGAACGCUGGCGGCAUGCCUUACACAUGCAAGUCGAACGGCAGCACGGGUGCUUGCACCUGGUGGCGAGUGGCGAACGGGUGAGUAAUACAUCGGAACGUACCUUAUCGUGGGGGAUAACGCAGCGAAAGCUGUGCUAAUACCGCAUACGCCCUGUGGGGGAAAGCGGGGGAUCGAAAGACCUCGCGCGAUUAGAGCGGCCGAUGCCUGAUUAGCUUGUUGGUGGGGGAAAAGCCCACCAAGGCGACGAUCAGUAGCUGGUCUGAGAGGACGAUCAGCCACACUGGGACUGAGACACGGCCCAGACUCCUACGGGAGGCAGCGUUGGGGAAUUUUGGACAAUGGGGGCAACCCUGAUCCAGCAAUGCCGCGUGAGGGAAGAAGGCCUUCGGGUUGUAAAGCUCUUUUGUCAGGGAAGAAACACCGGCUCUAACACAGUCCGGGAAUGACGGUACCUGAAGAAUAAGCACCGGCUAACUACGUGCCAGCCGCCGCCGUAA
Molecule: ribosomal RNA, 501 nt
Filed under: uncultured bacterium
Lineage: Bacteria
Description: partial 16S ribosomal RNA
Rfam family: Bacterial small subunit ribosomal RNA
Source: RNAcentral